CUGACAUAACUCGUCGAAAGACGGGCUAAUAUCAGAUAAAACAUAACUUGGCAUCAAGUAAUUGUCAAAGCUUCGGCGCCCAAAGAUGAGUCUGCGGACCAUUAGGUAGUUGGUGGAUUAACAGCCACCAAGCCAACGAUGGAUAGGCUGGUCUGAGAGGAUGAUCAGCCACACUGGAACUGAGACACGGUCCAGACUCCUACGGGAGGCAGCAGUAAGGAAUAUUGCUCAAUGGGAGAAACCCUGAAGCAGCAACGCCGCGUGAAGGAAGAAGGGUCUUCGACUUGUAAACUUCUGUAGAAGAGGAAAAUACUCCGAUAUACUCGGAAUUGAUUGUACUCUUAAAGUAAGCCCGGCUAACUACGUG
Molecule: ribosomal RNA, 367 nt
Filed under: uncultured bacterium
Lineage: Bacteria
Description: bacterial SSU rRNA
Rfam family: Bacterial small subunit ribosomal RNA
Source: RNAcentral